ACAAAAAGUGUCCUUUAAUUAAUAAAGGUUAUUAAACGUUUUUUUAAUUAGGUAUGGUCCUCGCUGUAUCAAUCAAGUCCCAUUGAAAUAUUGAAACGUUGUUCAUACAUCUUUGAAUGACCUUUUAUGUGCUGACAAUAUGUUCUGAAAUGAAGAGAUUUUACCCCUGAUGAAGUCUUGGAACAAGACGAAACGCGUUGGGUUAUUUAUCUAUCUAUUAUCUGACGUUACCUCCGAAUCUACAAUAAGGAGAAGGAGGAAAUCGUAGGGAUAUAUCUACGCUUUUUCCUCAUCACUACAAACUGAUUGUUCAAAUUGUGCGACAAAUGUAAAUGUAUCAACUCUGUAUACUUAUGAACAUUUGUGUCGGGUUUAUAUGUUGUUUUAAUAAAUUUUUAUGUUAGUA
Pseudophryne corroboree (corroboree frog) is the source of this 406-nucleotide long non-coding RNA. RefSeq lists it as uncharacterized. NCBI's taxonomy places the organism in Eukaryota, Metazoa, Chordata, Amphibia, Anura, Myobatrachidae. The transcript is spliced from 2 exons. The record is from RefSeq and is a predicted model, not a curated record.